This 614-nucleotide ribosomal RNA is filed under the name Streptococcus mutans. RNAcentral describes it as "bacterial SSU rRNA". It matches the Rfam family "Bacterial small subunit ribosomal RNA", at positions 374 to 979 of the family's 1533-position model. The record is from RNAcentral. Lineage: Bacteria; Bacillati; Bacillota; Bacilli; Lactobacillales; Streptococcaceae.
GACGAAAGUCUGACCGAGCAACGCCGCGUGAGUGAAGAAGGUUUUCGGAUCGUAAAGCUCUGUUGUAAGUCAAGAACGUGUGUGAGAGUGGAAAGUUCACACAGUGACGGUAGCUUACCAGAAAGGGACGGCUAACUACGUGCCAGCAGCCGCGGUAAUACGUAGGUCCCGAGCGUUGUCCGGAUUUAUUGGGCGUAAAGGGAGCGCAGGCGGUCAGGAAAGUCUGGAGUAAAAGGCUAUGGCUCAACCAUAGUGUGCUCUGGAAACUGUCUGACUUGAGUGCAGAAGGGGAGAGUGGAAUUCCAUGUGUAGCGGUGAAAUGCGUAGAUAUAUGGAGGAACACCAGUGGCGAAAGCGGCUCUCUGGUCUGUCACUGACGCUGAGGCUCGAAAGCGUGGGUAGCGAACAGGAUUAGAUACCCUGGUAGUCCACGCCGUAAACGAUGAGUGCUAGGUGUUAGGCCCUUUCCGGGGCUUAGUGCCGGAGCUAACGCAAUAAGCACUCCGCCUGGGGAGUACGACCGCAAGGUUGAAACUCAAAGGAAUUGACGGGGGCCCGCACAAGCGGUGGAGCAUGUGGUUUAAUUCGAAGCAACGCGAAGAACCUUACCAGGU